This is a long non-coding RNA of Rhodamnia argentea, 184 nucleotides long. RefSeq lists it as uncharacterized. The transcript is spliced from 4 exons. The record is from RefSeq and is a predicted model, not a curated record. Lineage: Eukaryota; Viridiplantae; Streptophyta; Magnoliopsida; Myrtales; Myrtaceae.
GUUGGGCCCAAAUCCCGACGAAAGCUAAAAAGCGAUGUUUGAUGAGCCCGCGUAGUACUAGAUAGUCGGUCGGGUAAAGGCUAACCAAGCCAAUGAUGCUUAGCUAGUCCUUUCGGAUGAUCAGCCACACUGGGACUAAGACACGGCUCAAACUCCACAGAGGGCAGCAGUGAAACUAGAAGAG